Molecule: transfer RNA, 86 nt
Filed under: bacterium
Lineage: Bacteria
Description: tRNA-Ser
Rfam family: tRNA
About the family: Transfer RNA (tRNA) molecules are approximately 80 nucleotides in length. Their secondary structure includes four short double-helical elements and three loops (D, anti-codon, and T loops).
Source: RNAcentral
GGAGAGGUCGGAUAACGGUUAUUCCAGCAGGUUGCUAACCUGCGCUGCUUAACGGCGGCCUGUGGGUUCGAAUCCCACCCUCUCCG